RNAcentral lists this ribosomal RNA (232 nucleotides) under uncultured bacterium. RNAcentral's name for it is "partial 16S ribosomal RNA". It matches the Rfam family "Bacterial small subunit ribosomal RNA", at positions 104 to 334 of the family's 1533-position model. The record is from RNAcentral.
CGGGGUGAGUAACGCGUGGAUAACCUGCCUCACACUGGGGGAUAACAGUUAGAAAUGGCUGCUAAUACCGCAUAAGCGCACAGUACCGCAUGGUACGGUGUGAAAAACCCAGGUGGUGUGAGAUGGAUCCGCGUCUGAUUAGCCAGUUGGCGGGGUAACGGCCCACCAAAGCGACGAUCAGUAGCCGACCUGAGAGGGUGACCGGCCACAUUGAGACUGAGACACGGCCCAA